This 903-nucleotide ribosomal RNA is filed under the name uncultured bacterium. Its description in RNAcentral is "bacterial SSU rRNA". It matches the Rfam family "Bacterial small subunit ribosomal RNA", at positions 8 to 913 of the family's 1533-position model. The record is from RNAcentral.
AGAGUUUGAUCCUGGCUCAGGACGAACGCUGGCGGCGGGCCUAACACAUGCAAGUCAAAGGAGAAUUUCGGAGCAAUCUGGAAGGACACUGGCGCACGGGUGAGUAACGCGUAGGUAACCUACCUUCUGCUGGGGGAUAACACCGGGAAACCGGUGCUAAUACCGCAUAAGGCAACAGUCACGCAUGUGGCAGUUGUUAAAGAAUUUCGGCAGAAGAUGGGCCUGCGUGUCAUUAGUUAGUUGGUAAGGUAAUGGCUUACCAAGACGAUGAUGACUAGGGGGUCUGAGAGGAUAAUCCCCCACACUGGAACUGAGACACGGUCCAGACUCCUACGGGAGGCAGCAGUGAGGAAUCUUGCGCAAUGGGGGAAACCCCGACGCAGCCACGCCGCGUGCCAGAUGAAGGCCCUACGGGUCGUAAAUGGCUUUUGGUCGGGAAGAUAAGCCGGGUUUCGACCUGGUGUGACGGUACCGACUGAAUAAGCACCGGCUAACUCCGUGCCAGCAGCCGCGGUAAUACGGAGGGUGCAAGCGUUGUCCGGAAUCAUUGGGUGUAAAGGGUGCGUAGGCGGAUGUCUAAGUCUGAGGUGAAAUCUUGCAGCUUAACUGUAAAAUUGCCUUGGAUACUGGAUGUCUUGAGUACAGAAGAGGAUGGUGGAAUUCGUAGUGUAGCGGUGAAAUGCAUAGAUAUUACGAAGAACAUCGGUGGCGAAAGCGGCCAUCUGGUCUGUUACUGACGCUGAGGCACGAAAGCGUGGGGAGCGAACAGGAUUAGAUACCCUGGUAGUCCACGCCGUAAACGAUGUGUGCUAGUUGUUGGCCUGUAUGGGCCAGUGACGUAGUUAACGCGCUAAGCACACCACCUGGGGAGUACGUUCGCAAGAUGAAACUCAAAGGAAUUGA